AUUGUAAAGCACUUUAAGUUGGGAGGAAGGGCAGUAAGUUAAUACCUUGCUGUUUUGACGUUACCAACAGAAUAAGCACCGGCUAACUUCGUGCCAGCAGCCGCGGUAAUACGAAGGGUGCAAGCGUUAAUCGGAAUUACUGGGCGUAAAGCGCGCGUAGGUGGUUCAGCAAGUUGGAUGUGAAAUCCCCGGGCUCAACCUGGGAACUGCAUCCAAAACUAACUGAGCUAGAGUACGGUAGAGGGUGGUGGAAUUUCCUGUGUAGCGGUGAAAUGCGUAGAUAUAGGAAGGAACACCAGUGGCGAAGGCGACCACCUGGACUGAUACUGACACCGAGGUGCGAAAGCGUGGGGAGCAAACAGGAUUAGAUACCCUGGUAG
Molecule: ribosomal RNA, 380 nt
Filed under: uncultured bacterium
Lineage: Bacteria
Description: bacterial SSU rRNA
Rfam family: Bacterial small subunit ribosomal RNA
Source: RNAcentral